Molecule: ribosomal RNA, 460 nt
Filed under: uncultured bacterium
Lineage: Bacteria
Description: partial 16S ribosomal RNA
Rfam family: Bacterial small subunit ribosomal RNA
Source: RNAcentral
CCUACGGGUGGCAGCAGUGAGGAAUAUUGGUCAAUGGGCGCGAGCCUGAACCAGCCAAGUAGCGUGAAGGAUGACUGCCCUACGGUUUGUAAACUUCUUUUAUAAAGGCAUAAAGUGAGGCACGAGUGCCUUUUUGUAUGUACUUUAUGAAUAAGGAUCGGCUAACUACGGUCCAGCAGCCGCGGUAAUACGGAGGAUCCGAUCGUUAUCCGGAUUUAUUGGGUUUAAAGGGAGCGUAGAUGGGUUGUUAAGUCAGUUGUGAAAGUUUGCGGCUCAACCGUAAAAUUGCAAUUGAUACUGGCAGCCUUGAGUACAGUUGAGGUAGGCGGAAUUCGUGGUGUAGCGGUGAAAUGCUUAGAUAUCACGAAGAACUCCGAUUGCGAAGGCAGCUUACUAAACUGCCACUGACGUUGAUGCGCGAAAGUGUGGGUAUCAAACAGGAUUAGAUACCCGGGUAGUC